CCCUUAGAUGUUCUGGGCCGCACGCGUGCUACACUGAUGCAUUCAGCGAGUCUAAAACCUGGUCUGAUAGGGCUGGGUAAUCUUUUGAAAGUGCAUCGUGAUUGGGAUAGAUGAUUGCUAUUCUUCAUCUUCAACGAGGAAUGCCUAGUAAACGCAAGUCAUCAGCUUGCAUUGAUUACGUCCCUGCCCUUUGUACACACCGCCCGUCGCUCCUACCGAUUGAAUGAUCCGAUGAAUACCAUGGAUUGAGAGUACGAAUAGGUUCGCUUAUUUCUGCUGCUCGAGAAGUGGAGUAAAUCUUAUCAUUUAGAGGAAGGAGAAGUCGUAACA
Molecule: ribosomal RNA, 330 nt
Filed under: uncultured eukaryote
Lineage: Eukaryota
Description: partial 18S ribosomal RNA
Rfam family: Eukaryotic small subunit ribosomal RNA
Source: RNAcentral